RNAcentral lists this non-coding RNA (224 nucleotides) under Ureibacillus sinduriensis. RNAcentral's name for it is "Lysinibacillus sinduriensis T-box sequence". It matches the Rfam family "T-box leader". From Rfam's summary of the family: Uncharged tRNA acts as the effector for transcription antitermination of genes in the T-box leader family. T-boxes are found upstream of many aminoacyl-tRNA synthetase genes and some amino acid biosynthetic genes usually in Gram-positive bacteria. Lineage: Bacteria; Bacillati; Bacillota; Bacilli; Caryophanales; Caryophanaceae. The record is from RNAcentral.
UUCCAUAUGAUGACUGGAAGUAUUAAGGAUAACUUAUUGUAUAGAGAGCUGUUGGUUGGUGAAAAACAGCGAAUAAGUUCCCCAACUCGUCCAUGAGUAUUUGUGUUGAAAAAAGUAGGCACAAACGGUUGCUGCCGUUAUCAGUGAGGAUUAUAAAAAUCCUGCAGAGUGAGCUUUUUAAAGCUAAUUAGAGUGGUAACGCGAAUUCAAACUUCGUCUCUUUU